GGAAUCUUGGACAAUGGGCGCAAGCCUGAUCCAGCCAUGCCGCGUGAGUGAAGAAGGCCUUAGGGUUGUAAAACUCUUUCGCCGGAGCAGCUACUGACGGUAUCCGGAGAAGAAGCCCCGGCUAAAUUCGUGCCAGCAGCCGCGGUAAUACGAAGGGGGCUAGCGUUGUUCGGAAUUACUGGAGGUAAAGCGAACGUAGGCGGAUUUGUAAGUAGGGGGUGAAAUCCCCAGGCUCAACCUGGGAACUGCCUUCUAGACUGCAAGUCUGGAGAUCAGGAGAGGCGAGUGGAAUACCGAGUGUAGAGGUGAAAUUCGUAGAUAUUCGGUGGAACACCAGUGGCGAAGGCGACUCGCUGGACUGAUACUGACGCUGAGGUGCGAAAGCGUGGGGAGCAAAC
This 398-nucleotide ribosomal RNA is filed under the name uncultured bacterium. RNAcentral describes it as "bacterial SSU rRNA". It matches the Rfam family "Bacterial small subunit ribosomal RNA", at positions 358 to 773 of the family's 1533-position model. The record is from RNAcentral.